GUGUAUGUGUGUGUCUGUGUGUGUAUGUCAGUAUGUCUGUCAUAGACACACACAGACAUACUGACAUACAUACACAAACAGACAU
Molecule: non-coding RNA, 85 nt
Organism: Pelobates cultripes (western spadefoot toad)
Lineage: Eukaryota; Metazoa; Chordata; Amphibia; Anura; Pelobatidae
Source: the annotation of a GenBank genome assembly